CAGUCGCCGCGGGAAUACGGAGGGUGCAAGCGUUAAUCGGAAUUACUGGGCGUAAAGCGUGUGUAGGUGGUUGUUUAAGUCUGUCGUGAAAGCCCUGGGCUCAACCUGGGAAUUGCGAUGGAUACUGGGCGACUAGAGUGCGGUAGAGGAUAGUGGAAUUUCCGGUGUAGCAGUGAAAUGCGUAGAGAUCGGAAGGAACAUCUGUGGCGAAGGCGACUAUCUGGGCCAACACUGACACUGAGGCACGAAAGCGUGGGGAGCAAACAGGAUUAGAUACCCCGGUAGUCCCUGUCUCUUAUAC
This 301-nucleotide ribosomal RNA is filed under the name uncultured bacterium. RNAcentral's name for it is "partial 16S ribosomal RNA". It matches the Rfam family "Bacterial small subunit ribosomal RNA", at positions 509 to 807 of the family's 1533-position model. The record is from RNAcentral.